This 749-nucleotide ribosomal RNA is filed under the name uncultured Lachnospiraceae bacterium. RNAcentral describes it as "bacterial SSU rRNA". It matches the Rfam family "Bacterial small subunit ribosomal RNA", at positions 28 to 776 of the family's 1533-position model. The record is from RNAcentral. Lineage: Bacteria; Bacillati; Bacillota; Clostridia; Lachnospirales; Lachnospiraceae.
GACGAACGCUGGCGGCGUGCUUAACACAUGCAAGUCGAACGAGAAUCACUGGAAGGAGUUUUCGGACAACGGAAGGUGAGGACAGUGGCGGACGGGUGAGUAACGCGUGAGGAACCUGCCUUUCAGAGGGGGACAACAGUUGGAAACGACUGCUAAUACCGCAUGACACAUAGAGAUCGCAUGGUUUUUAUGUCAAAGAUUUAUCGCUGAAAGAUGGCCUCGCGUCUGAUUAGCUAGUUGGUGAGGUAACGGCCCACCAAGGCGACGAUCAGUAGCCGGACUGAGAGGUUGACCGGCCACAUUGGGACUGAGAUACGGCCCAGACUCCUACGGGAGGCAGCAGUGGGGAAUAUUGGGCAAUGGGCGCAAGCCUGACCCAGCAACGCCGCGUGAAGGAAGAAGGCUUUCGGGUUGUAAACUUCUUUUGUCGGGGACGAGUAGAAGACGGUACCUGGCGAAUAAGCCACGGCUAACUACGUGCCAGCAGCCGCGGUAAUACGUAGGUGGCAAGCGUUGUCCGGAUUUACUGGGUGUAAAGGGCGUGUAGCCGGGAAGGCAAGUCAGAUGUGAAAUCCACGGGCUUAACUCGUGAACUGCAUUUGAAACUACUUUUCUUGAGUAUCGGAGAGGCAAUCGGAAUUCCUAGUGUAGCGGUGAAAUGCGUAGAUAUUAGGAGGAACACCAGUGGCGAAGGCGGAUUGCUGGACGACAACUGACGGUGAGGCGCGAAAGCGUGGGGAGCAAACAGG